RNAcentral lists this ribosomal RNA (225 nucleotides) under Acinetobacter baumannii. RNAcentral describes it as "partial 16S ribosomal RNA". It matches the Rfam family "Bacterial small subunit ribosomal RNA", at positions 1 to 229 of the family's 1533-position model. Lineage: Bacteria; Pseudomonadati; Pseudomonadota; Gammaproteobacteria; Moraxellales; Moraxellaceae. The record is from RNAcentral.
AACUGAAGAGUUUGAUCAUGGCUCAGAUUGAACGCUGGCGGCAGGCUUAACACAUGCAAGUCGAGCGGGGGAAGGUAGCUUGCUACUGGACCUAGCGGCGGACGGGUGAGUAAUGCUUAGGAAUCUGCCUAUUAGUGGGGGACAACAUCUCGAAAGGGAUGCUAAUACCGCAUACGUCCUACGGGAGAAAGCAGGGGAUCUUCGGACCUUGCGCUAAUAGAUGAG